This 490-nucleotide ribosomal RNA is filed under the name uncultured bacterium. RNAcentral's name for it is "partial 16S ribosomal RNA". It matches the Rfam family "Bacterial small subunit ribosomal RNA", at positions 30 to 507 of the family's 1533-position model. The record is from RNAcentral.
AUUGAACGCUGGCGGCAGGCCUAACACAUGCAAGUCGAACGGUAACAGGAAGAAGCUUGCUUCUUUGCUGACGAGUGGCGGACGGGUGAGUAAUGUCUGGGAAACUGCCUGAUGGAGGGGGAUAACUACUGGAAACGGUAGCUAAUACCGCAUAUUGUCGCAAGACCAAAGAGGGGGACCUUCGGGCCUCUUGCCAUCGGAUGUGCCCAGAUGGGAUUAGCUAGUAGGUGGGGUAACGGCUCACCUAGGCGACGAUCCCUAGCUGGUCUGAGAGGAUGACCAGCCACACUGGAACUGAGACACGGUCCAGACUCCUACGGGAGGCAGCAGUGGGGAAUAUUGCACAAUGGGCGCAAGCCUGAUGCAGCUAUGCCGCGUGUAUGAAGAAGGCCUUCGGGUUGUAAAGUACUUUCAGCGGGGAGGAAGGGAGUAAAGUUAAUACCUUUGCUCAUUGACGUUACCCGCAGAAGAAGCACCGGCUAACUCCGUG